AUGUGUUGUUCAUUUAUUUUGAAAUACAUAACUAUAUCUCUAUCCCUUUAUCUAAUUUCAAUGAUUCUUCCACUUAGUCCAGCCAAUCUUAUUUGUAGUCAUGCGACCGUCCAAUUACUUUGCGCUGGAGGCGGGUAUGGAGCAGGCGGUCCCCUGGGGUUGCGACCUCUUCACUUUUGUGACAUCUGCCGCCGGUCACAUGAUGAGGACCCUACAGAAACCCCGCAAAAACCGUCCCUCCAAGCGACAGGUCAACCACCGGCGCUUCCUGCACAACAUGAUACAGAGGUUAGUAUCAGGAGGGUGAAUCUGUAUGUGUGUGAUUAUUAUUGUCUCCUCUCUAUUGUUGACUUAAAAAAACAACACAACAACAUGGCAUUUCCAACAACUGAUCUCACUAUCUCUCCCAACAGGAAGUUCUCCAACAUCGAGGCUGCAAACCAGCGACUAGCGUCUGCUCUACUUUGUACCAAGGAAGAAAACACAUCUCCCUCCUUCCCGGGCCAGAAGCCUGUGACACCAGAACCAUCCGUUAAACCCACCACUGGUGAUGGUCUUGCUGAAAAAGCCAAUGACCCCAUGACAAACACAUCAAAAGACAUUGAGCAGGCUUCAAAGUUGGGUUCUGACUCGGCCUAUGGCUCCAUUGAAAUGGAGAUCAGUAAACAGAGGCAGCCAGAGUCUAGACAUUUUUUGGUAAGCCUUCCCAAAUCACAGGCCAGCACCGGCACAUGGAGAGGGAAGAGCCAGGGGCACAGAGCCCCAAAUCCGGCACUCCAAAAUAUGAUCGGAAACGAGAACCAAGCUAAAUCAACUUCCUUCUUGAACUCUCCUGAACACACAGAGUUCAACCAUCAACCUGGAGUCUCGCAGACCGCCUGUGACAGAUAUGAAAAGACAACCCAAAGAAACAGAAUUCAUCGCUCAGAAGUCAAUGUCGGUACUGCGAGGCUCAAAGAAACUGACAACAACAACAACAACCAAGACCGACAUUUCAAAUCUGCCUCAGACUCAGAUGUCAUCAUUCAUCUGGACGAGGACCUUGACCUGUCCCUCUCGCCGUCCUUCUCUCCGGAUCUUUCCCCGCUCUCCCUCGACUCUUGUGACUUCUCCGUACAGUCCAUGCUGGACAUGUCCACCUGCUUCCAGAAGAACCACAAGGAGGACACCGUGGAGAACCAGUGGACAGACAUGAUGGAGGUCUUGCAGACAGAGGUCAUAUGUAGGGACGACCUAGAAGACUGCAUGAACAUGGAGGAGUUUUUUGAAAAUGUGUGCAUCUGUCAAGAGGGUUCCUCGGAACUGGAAGGCGAUGUGUGCUGUGAUGACAUCACCACGUCAUCUAUGAAUCAUGAGCGAGGAACUUGCAUGGGGCAUGAGAUCUUCCAGAUCCAGAGCAAUGAUAAUUGUGGAUCCGAGGCAGAGCAUUUGAAAUGUAUUGAAGGUAAAUACGGGUAUGGAGGUUCUGAUGCUUUUCAGAGUGAUCUUGGAUUGCCUUUCAAAAAUUUGACCAGUGAUCAGAGAACCUCUCAAAAUCUUCAAGCCAGCAGAAGUGAGAUAGUCUUUAAUGAAACAGCCUCAGACCAAGACAAAGACAACCAAUCAAAUUCAAUCUUUAGCAUUUACCUUUGCAACAACUCAACACUCAACACAUACUCCUGUGCACAACAGGAGAGUUCCUGUGCAUUUGAAGCGUGUAAUAACAAAACAGGCACACACUUUGAAGGUGUGGCUCAGUCCUUCUCUGCUCUUACUGAAACCCAGUACCAUCCCAUACUCACCCCUCCAUUUGAGAACGACUGGCUGUUCACAGAGAUUGUGUAG
Molecule: long non-coding RNA, 1824 nt
Organism: Gadus morhua (Atlantic cod)
Lineage: Eukaryota; Metazoa; Chordata; Actinopteri; Gadiformes; Gadidae
Source: Ensembl